AGCGAACGCUGGCGGCAGGCCUAACACAUGCAAGUCGAACGAACCUUUCGGGGUUAGUGGCGGACGGGUGAGUAACACGUGGGAACGUGCCUUUAGGUUCGGAAUAACUCAGGGAAACUUGUGCUAAUACCGAAUGUGCCCUUCGGGGGAAAGAUUAAUCGCCUUUAGAGCGGCCCGCGUCUGAUUAGCUAGUUGGUUGAGGUAAUGGCUCACCAAGGCGACGAUCAGUAGCUGGUCUGAGAGGAUGAGCCGCCACAUUGGGACUGAGACACGGCCCAGACUCCUGCGGGAGGCAGCAGUGGGGAAUCUUGCGCAAUGGGCGAAAGCCUGACGCAGCCAUGCCGCGUGAAUGAUGAAGGUCUUAGGAUUGUAAAAUUCUUUCACCGGGGACGAUAAUGACGGUACCCGGAGAAGAAGCCCCGGCUAACUUCGUG
This 434-nucleotide ribosomal RNA is filed under the name uncultured bacterium. RNAcentral's name for it is "partial 16S ribosomal RNA". It matches the Rfam family "Bacterial small subunit ribosomal RNA", at positions 29 to 507 of the family's 1533-position model. The record is from RNAcentral.